GACGAACGCUGGCGGCGUGCUUAACACAUGCAAGUCGAGCGGCAGCGCGGGGGCAACCCUGGCGGCGAGCGGCGAACGGGUGAGUAAUACAUCGGAACGUGUCCUUAAGUGGGGGAUAGCUCGGCGAAAGCCGGAUUAAUACCGCAUAAGCUCUGAGGAGGAAAGCGGGGGCUCCGUAAGGACCUCGCGCUGUUGGAGCGGCCGAUGUCGGAUUAGCUAGUUGGUGGGGUAAAGGCCCACCAAGGCGACGAUCCGUAGCUGGUCUGAGAGGGUGACCGGCCACACUGGGACUGAGACACGGCCCAGACUCCUACGGGAGGCAGCAGUGGGGAAUCUUGCGCAAUGGGCGAAAGCCUGACGCAGCGACGCCGCGUGGGGACGAAGGCCUCGGUUGUAACCC
This 400-nucleotide ribosomal RNA is filed under the name uncultured bacterium. Its description in RNAcentral is "bacterial SSU rRNA". It matches the Rfam family "Bacterial small subunit ribosomal RNA", at positions 28 to 431 of the family's 1533-position model. The record is from RNAcentral.